GUGUUUUCUUCAGCAGCACAUAUACUAAAACUGGAAUGAUACAGAGAUUACCAUGGCCCCUGUGCAAGGAUGACAUGCAAAUUCAUGAAGCAUUCUAUAUUUUU
RNAcentral lists this small nuclear RNA (104 nucleotides) under Notamacropus eugenii (tammar wallaby). Lineage: Eukaryota; Metazoa; Chordata; Mammalia; Diprotodontia; Macropodidae. The record is from RNAcentral.